RNAcentral lists this long non-coding RNA (351 nucleotides) under Mus caroli (Ryukyu mouse). RNAcentral describes it as "lncRNA (MGP_CAROLIEiJ_G0003203.1)". Lineage: Eukaryota; Metazoa; Chordata; Mammalia; Rodentia; Muridae. The record is from RNAcentral.
CGUGUUGCUGCUGCUGCUGCUGUUGCUGCUGUAGAUACUCGCCGUGGCCGCCGCCGCCUCCGCCGCCGUCCACGUCCAAGGUAUGCCUGCUGCUCAUGGAGGGAAGAAGUGAGCUUUGGAGCGAGAGUUACAGAUAGUUAUGAGUUGCCACAGGGAUCCUCGAGAUUUGACCAAGCCAGAACACCACUCACAAGUUGAUCCUUUUGUUCCAUGAUGUGAGUCGCAGAUAUCAAACUCAGGUGGCCAGGCCUGGCAGCAAGCUCUUCUGGCUGUUCCGCCAUCUCACUGGCCAUGUGGAAAUCUUCUGAAGAUGGACGCACAUGAGCACAAGCUCAGAAAUGAAUAGUUUGA